CCUACGGGAGGCAGCAGUGAGGAAUAUUGGUCAAUGGACGAGAGUCUGAACCAGCUAAGUAGCGUGAAGGAUGACUGCCCUAUGGGUUGUAAACUUCUUUUAUAUGGGAAUAAAAUGUUCCACGUGUGGGAUUUUGUAUGUACCAUAUGAAUAAGGAUCGGCUAACUCCGUGCCAGCAGCCGCGGUAAUACGGAGGAUCCGAGCGUUAUCCGGAUUUAUUGGGUUUAAAGGGAGCGUAGGUGGAUUGUUAAGUUAGUUGUGAAAGUUUGCGGCUCAACCGUAAAAUUGCAGUUGAAACUGGCAGUCUUGAGUACAGUAGAGGUGGGCGGAAUUCGUGGUGUAGCGGUGAAAUGCUUAGAGAUCACGAAGAACUCCGAUUGCGAAGGCAGUUCACUGGACUGCAACUGACACUGAGGCUCGAAAGUGUGGGUAUCAAACAGGAUUAGAUACCCUUGUAGUC
Molecule: ribosomal RNA, 460 nt
Filed under: uncultured bacterium
Lineage: Bacteria
Description: partial 16S ribosomal RNA
Rfam family: Bacterial small subunit ribosomal RNA
Source: RNAcentral